CCUUGGUCUAUAUUUUACUCAUUACAUUGCAUCCCCCUUAACGACAACCUUGCCCUCAAGGUUGUUGAUUAAAAAUUAUAAAUCCUAGUUACAAUUAAUAAAACGAAUACAUAAGCCUAAAAAUAAUAUUUUCUAUUUUAUUUCUAUUCUAUUCUACUGCUAAAAAAUAAUAAUACUCCCCCAGGAUCCCAUUGAAAAGUUUUUGGUCCAAUCCAAACCAAUAAAUGAUAUUUAAUGCAUAAAUCUGAAUUUGGUCCCAAAAAGCUAUAAUCUUUAAAAUUGAACUUGAAUUUAAUGGAUCAGCCAUUCUCUUCUUCUUUUGGGCUUCAGAAAAUAAGGUUUGGCCCAAUACAACCCCAAACACAAUUGACCUAGUUACCUUCUCCUCCCCUGAAACAUCUCCAGCGGCUCCUUGCUUCUCUGCCAUGGACUUCACAGUUGCCGGGAGAACCACCGGCGCCGCCACUGCGUCCAACCCACCGCCACCCUUCGUGUUGCGUCGUUUGUCUCCUAACAUCCAACAAGGAGUUGCGUUCAAUUUCUCCUAAGGCCAAAGAGAGACCCUCCUAACAGCCAAAAACCAACUGCCACUCGCGGCCGUUCCGCCCGUGACCGCCGCUUGCGAGUUCAGAUGCGGUGGCUUUGGUGGUGGCCUCCGUAUCAUCGCCGCUCUUGCCCGAAGAUCUGCGUUCGCCACGGUUGCUCCAUCAACAAGGGUCGCAAACGUUCUCUGCCUCCCCUUCACGGCAGCGUCGUCCUCCACGCUGCUUGCUAUCACCUAGUCGUUCGUCACGUUUUUUCUCGCAGCUGCUCCGCCUACGCCCGCUUCGUCUGUGAACCAGCAACGCAGCUUUGGUGUCGGUUCCCGAUCCAAUAGAUCCUCGUCCUCCACCUUCCCCUUCGCGACGGCGCCGCCCUCGGAGCCGCUUCUGGCCGUGAGUUGCCAAUCGCCGUUGCCCCGAGUGGUACCAUCAGCAUCAUCACUGUCAAACGCCAUCGCGAGCCCAGAAAACCCCGGCGGCGGCAAGGCGAAGGCGUCUCCCUCUUUCACAGCCCUCCCUCUCGUCCCUGGCUCUCUCUCCCUCACGUCUCUCUCUCCCUCACAGCUGCCAAGGCGGCAAGGCGCGCUCGUCUCUCCUCUCUCAGGUCUGUGGCGGACAGCGGUGAGGUGCUCCUGUUCUCUGCCGAAAAGGUCCUUGUCUGAGAAGUUGAGAGCAACCAAGACCCACAAGGGCUACUAGAAUUGUAGGCUGAACGUUUUGGUUCUUCCGGAUUCACCCAACUCCUUCCCUCAUUAUUGGGUUGAUUUGGUGAGCAACUUCAUUUAUUGAUUGUGGCUAAUGAAAGAGGGUGUUCCAGCAUUGCAUUUGCAUCACAAGGUAGCUCUUCUCUUGGAAUCAUCAUGCAAAACCCAAUCCCACAUUUCUCAAAUUCACGCCUUUAUGCUCAAAACCGCACUCAUCAACCUUCCCUUCCCGCUCAGCAAGCUCCUCGCAGCAUCAAUCUCACACGUCCACUACGCUGCCUCCAUUUUCAAUUCUGCUCCAAACCCCAAUCUUUUCAUGUUCAACACUAUGCUUAGAGGAUAUUCCAUCAGCAACUCCCCUGCCAAGGCCUUGCCCCUUUUCAACCAACUUAGGAACUGCCCAAUUCUCAUUGACCGCUUCUCUUUCAUCACUGUCAUCAAGGCUUGUACUAGGCUUUCCAACCUUGUCUUUGGGCGAGGCCUUCAUGGCCUUGCACUCAGGUCUGGAACUCUGCUUUUUCUUGAUUUCAGGAAUACCCUUUUGCAUUUCUACUGUGUUUCCAGGAGACUUGGAGAUGCUCACAACCUGUUUGAUGAAUUUCCCCGACGAAAUGACUUGGUCUCAUGGAACACUUUGAUGGCUGGCCACCUUCUUGCUUCUAAGCCUGAGCUGACCUUUCAUUUGUUUCGGAAGAUGCGUUGUUGCGGGGUUGAAGCGAGUGUUGCAACUGCAUUGAGUCUUUUGUCGGCAGCUACUGAUAUGCAAAGUUUUCUUGGAGGGAAGUGUCUUCAUGGUUACUAUAUCCGACUUGGACUUAGUUCUAAUUUGAAUGUUCUUACUGCAUUGAUUGAUCUCUAUGCAAGAAUGGGUCGUAUCUUUUUGGCACAUCGAGUUUUUGAUGGUGUUGCUCAAAAGGACGUUAUCCUGUGGAACUGCUUGAUUGGCAAGUAUGCAAGAAAUGGGCUGCUUGGAGAAGCAGUAAAAUUGCUGCAGCAAAUGAGUCUUGAAGGGUGUAAACCUAAUUCUUCUACUUUAGUUGGGUUGCUUUCGGGUUGCCCUGCUUCCGGAUCUAUGCAAGUAGUACGAUACGUUACUAAUUUUAUGGUAGAGGAGAAACUAGAGCUGGAUGCAGUUCUUGGAACAGCACUUGUUAAUGCAUAUGCCAAAUGUGGCUUUCUAGACGAGGCUACGGACAUAUUUGAGAGGAUGAAGGGUAAAGAUAUGAAAGCAUGGAAAGCCAUGAUUUCAGGUCAUGGAAUUCACGGCCAGCCGACUAAUGCUGUUAAUCUUUUCAACAGGAUGGAGAAUGAAGGGUUUAGACCAAAUGAGGUUACAUUCUUGGCAGUUCUCAGUGCUUGUAGCCAUGGAGGGCUUGUAAUUGAGGGGAUGGAAAUUUUUAAGAGCAUGGUUUGCAAAUAUGGCUUUUCACCACAAGUUGAACAUUAUGGAUCUCUCAUUGAUCUUCUAGGUCGAGCAGGGAUGCUACAUGAAGCGCACAAACUAAUUGAAAGUUUGCCUAUUAAGGGCGAUGCAACUGCAUGGCGUACAUUGCUUUCUGCUUGCCGAGUCUAUGGUGAUGUUAAAUUGGGGGAAUGUGUGAAAGAUGUGCUAAGCAGCAUUUAUACAGAGCAUCCUACAGAUUCACUCCUGAUUUCUGGCAUUUACGUUGCUGCUGGAAGAAUCUCAGAUCUAAUAAGAUUGCAAGAAAUGAAGCAAACUAAUGCUGUUACAGUUGGAACUGAUGGAGGAAAUAUGUUGAAGGAAGCUGGAGUCAGUAUAGUUGAAAUUGAUAAUCAGGGAUGAGGAUAUUGAUGGUUCAAGUAAAAUCAUUGUCUCUAACUCUAUCACGCAUAGUGGUGGUCUCAAUACCUCGGGACAUGAUACAAUUUUGAUGUCAACAUUCAAUUGCGCAAUAUGGCAUCUCUGCAUGUAUGGCAUGAUUCAUGUCCACCAAAUUAGAUAAUAUUGUGAUUUGCUCCUAGAGCACCAUACCGUCAAUAAACCCAACAAGGGUAAAGCAAGAAGAGGAUGUAAUAGCAGUUAAUCAGCUGCUAUUUUGGAUUGGUAAAUUGCUUCUGGUCUUAAUCUUCCGUUACCAAUCAUUCUUUCAAGCAUUUCAUUAGUGCCUUCACUGGGAACAUCAUCUUCCGGUGGUAUUGCUUCAUCUGAUGAUGCCUCUGAGAGGAUCAAAUCAGGCUUCAUUCACUUCAAGAAAGAGAAAUGAACAAGCUGAGGCGGAUGCUGAGAGGAUUGGUGUUGGUGUUACUAGCAAGGCACAGCAUCUUUGAUGCUUUGUCCAAAACGCAAUACAUUAGACCUUUCUAUAUGAACCCACAACUUUCGCACCUGCCGCAGAUGCCACAAACUUCUCACAUGUGGUAUGUUCCAAAAAAGAACAUAUUCAGCAAGUAAGACGAUGUUUUGACUGUGGCUGAGAGAUACAUGGAAGAGCAUGGACAGAAGCCUUUGAAAGACUCAUAAGCUGGGUAACAAAAAUUUGCUAUGUUGUGCACACUACAUGAUUCACAACUUUCUCACCCUUUAGCUUAGAUUUAGCACUAUCUCUGUCAAAACUCAAUGACUUCACAGGGAGGAAGACGCUUUACAGUGAUCAAAUAAUGUACUAUAUGUUAUUUGUAAUAUUGCAUAUGGAGGUUGAUUGUCGUAUUCAGUUUUGGUUAUUCAAACAUUUUGGAACAAUAGGCCACUAGAAAUUAUUGUAGUUAACGUAUCAUGUGCUAUAAUACUUGGCUUAGUUGGCUGACUUGAUUGUUUAUUUAAUUAUUAAAUAUAUUCUAAUUUUAGUUUUAUUUCAA
RNA transcript from Arachis duranensis, 4063 nucleotides. It is a transcript of the gene named pentatricopeptide repeat-containing protein At1g26900, mitochondrial, with no coding region annotated. The record is from RefSeq and is a predicted model, not a curated record. Lineage: Eukaryota; Viridiplantae; Streptophyta; Magnoliopsida; Fabales; Fabaceae. The transcript is spliced from 8 exons.